GCAGCAGUAAGGAAUAUUGGUCAAUGGACGCAAGUCUGAACCAGCCAUGCCGCGUGAAGGAUUAAGGUCCUCUGGAUUGUAAACUUCUUUUAUUUGGGACGAAAAAGGGCCUUUCUAGGUCAACUGACGGUACCAGAUGAAUAAGCACCGGCUAACUCCGUGCCAGCAGCCGCGGUAAUACGGAGGGUGCAAGCGUUAUCCGGAUUCACUGGGUUUAAAGGGUGCGUAGGCGGGUAGGUAAGUCAGUGGUGAAAUCCUUGAGCUCAACUCGAGAACUGCCAUUGAUACUAUUUAUCUUGAAUAUUGUGGAGGUAAGCGGAAUAUGUCAUGUAGCGGUGAAAUGCUUAGAUAUGACAUAGAACACCUAUUGCGAAGGCAGCUUACUACGCAUAUAUUGACGCUGAGGCACGAAAGCGUGGGGAUCAAACAGGAUUAGAUA
Molecule: ribosomal RNA, 439 nt
Filed under: uncultured bacterium
Lineage: Bacteria
Description: bacterial SSU rRNA
Rfam family: Bacterial small subunit ribosomal RNA
Source: RNAcentral